This 253-nucleotide ribosomal RNA is filed under the name uncultured bacterium. RNAcentral describes it as "partial 16S ribosomal RNA". It matches the Rfam family "Bacterial small subunit ribosomal RNA", at positions 524 to 776 of the family's 1533-position model. The record is from RNAcentral.
UACGUAGGGGGCUAGCGUUGUCCGGAUUUAUUGGGCGUAAAGAGCGUGUAGGCGGCCAGGUAGGUCUGCUGUGAAAAUUCGAGGCUCAACCUCGAGACGUCGGCGGAAACCAUCUGGCUAGAGUCCGGAAGAGGAGAGUGGAAUUCCUGGUGUAGCGGUGAAAUGCGCAGAUAUCAGGAAGAACACCCGUGGCGAAGGCGGCUCUCUGGGACGGUACUGACGCUGAGACGCGAAAGCGUGGGGAGCGAACAGG